Molecule: long non-coding RNA, 544 nt
Organism: Nerophis ophidion (straightnose pipefish)
Lineage: Eukaryota; Metazoa; Chordata; Actinopteri; Syngnathiformes; Syngnathidae
Exons: 4
Source: RefSeq, a predicted model, not a curated record
GGGCCAUCACGACAUCCACACGUCUGUUUACCAGGACGUUCUGGGGGGGAAAAACGAUUUUAAUUGCGUGCAUGUUUUUGGUGGUGGGAGGAAGCCGGAGUACCCGGAGGAAACCCACGCAGUCACGGGGAGAACAUGCAAACUCCACACGGACAGAUCCCGAGUCUGGGAUUGAACCAAGGACUACUCAGGACCUUCGUAUUGUGAGCCCAGCUUUUUCGUCAUCAUCCUCCAUGUCAAGUCCUGGCACAUGCACGAUUGGAAAGUACCAUACCAGAAUCUGUGCAAGAAGACAAUGGAUGGAAAAUCACUGAUGCCACCACGAGGUAAAGGGUGAACACUGUUAACAAAAACAGGCGGCUAAUCUUGGCACUCCUCUUCACUGCGACAAUCAAGAUGACCAAUUUUUGAUGGCGUUCACCUUCAUCUCCUGCCUCAUCAAUAACCUAUCUCCACCUUGGUGAGCCUUUAACGCAAGCAAUAUCAAAAGACAAGAGUGCAGGAGAAAGCGAUGAUGUGUCAAUGUCUUGAUCUGUUUGGCAGC